This 635-nucleotide ribosomal RNA is filed under the name uncultured Chroococcales cyanobacterium. RNAcentral's name for it is "bacterial SSU rRNA". It matches the Rfam family "Bacterial small subunit ribosomal RNA", at positions 126 to 795 of the family's 1533-position model. Lineage: Bacteria; Bacillati; Cyanobacteriota; Cyanophyceae; Chroococcales. The record is from RNAcentral.
CUGGCCUAAGGUGGGGGACAACCACUGGAAACGGUGGCUAAUACCGCAUAAGCCUGAGGGUGAAAGAUUAAUUGCCUAAGGAUGAGCUCGCGUCUGAUUAGCUAGUUGGUAGGGUAAGAGCCUACCAAGGCGACGAUCAGUAACUGGUCUGAGAGGAUGACCAGUCACACUGGGACUGAGACACGGCCCAGACUCCUACGGGAGGCAGCAGUGGGGAAUUUUCCGCAAUGGGCGAAAGCCUGACGGAGCAAUACCGCGUGGGGGAGGAAGGCCCUUGGGUUGUAAACCUCUUUUCUCAGGGAAGAAUACUGACGGUACCUGAGGAAUCAGCCUCGGCUAACUCCGUGCCAGCAGCCGCGGUAAUACGGAGGAGGCAAGCGUUAUCCGGAAUGAUUGGGCGUAAAGCGUCCGCAGGUGGCGGUGCCAGUCUGCUGUCAAAGCUCAGGGCUUAACCCUGAACAGGCAGUGGAAACUGCACAGCUAGAGUGCGGUAGGGGCAGAGGGAAUUCCUGGUGUAGCGGUGAAAUGCGUAGAGAUCAGGAAGAACACCGGUGGCGAAAGCGCUCUGCUAGGCCGCAACUGACACUCAGGGACGAAAGCUAGGGGAGCGAAUGGGAUUAGAUACCCCAGUAGUC